GACGAACGCCGGCGGCGUGCCUAAUACAUGCAAGUCGAACGAGAGCGGCCGGUGCUUGCACUGGUCAAUCUAGUGGCGAACGGGUGAGUAACACGUGGGUAACCUGCCCAUCAGAGGGGGAUAACAUCCGGAAACGGAUGCUAAAACCGCAUAGGUCUUCGAGCCGCAUGGCUUGAAGAGGAAAAGAGGCGCAAGCUUCUGCUGAUGGAUGGACCCGCGGUGCAUUAGCUAGUUGGUGAGGUAACGGCUCACCAAGGCCGUGAUGCAUAGCCGACCUGAGAGGGUGAUCGGCCACAUUGGGACUGAGACACGGCCCAAACUCCUACGGGAGGCAGCAGUAGGGAAUCUUCCGCAAUGGACGCAAGUCUGACGGAGCAACGCCGCGUGAGUGAAGAAGGUCUUCGGAUUGUAAAACUCUGUUGUUAGAGAAGAACAAGUGCUAGAGUAACUGUUAGCGCCUUGACGGUAUCUAACCAGAAAGCCACGGCUAACUACGUGCCAGCAGCCGCGGUAAUACGUAGGUGGCAAGCGUUGUCCGGAUUUAUUGGGCGUAAAGCGAGCGCAGGCGGUUCCUUAAGUCUGAUGUGAAAGCCCCCGGCUCAACCGGGGAGGGUCAUUGGAAACUGGGGAACUUGAGUGCAGAAGAGGAGAGUGGAAUUCCAUGUGUAGCGGUGAAAUGCGUAGAUAUAUGGAGGAACACCAGUGGCGAAGGCGACUCUCUGGUCUGUAACUGACGCUGAGGCUCGAAAGCGUGGGUAGCAAACAGG
This 767-nucleotide ribosomal RNA is filed under the name uncultured Granulicatella sp. Its description in RNAcentral is "bacterial SSU rRNA". It matches the Rfam family "Bacterial small subunit ribosomal RNA", at positions 28 to 776 of the family's 1533-position model. The record is from RNAcentral. Lineage: Bacteria; Bacillati; Bacillota; Bacilli; Lactobacillales; Carnobacteriaceae.